CCUACGGGUGGCAGCAGUGGGGAAUAUUGGACAAUGGGCGAAAGCCUGAUCCAGCCAUGCCGCGUGUGUGAAGAAGGCCUUCGGGUUGUAAAGCACUUUCAGUGGGGAAGAAAGCCUUGGGGCUAAUACCCUCGAGGAAGGACAUCACCCACAGAAGAAGCACCGGCUAACUCCGUGCCAGCAGCCGCGGUAAUACGGAGGGUGCGAGCGUUAAUCGGAAUUACUGGGCGUAAAGCGCGCGUAGGCGGUCUGAUAAGCCGGUUGUGAAAGCCCCGGGCUCAACCUGGGAACGGCAUCCGGAACUGUCAGGCUAGAGGGCAGGAGAGGAAGGUAGAAUUCCCGGGGUAGCGGUGAAAUGCGUAGAGAUCGGGAGGAAUACCAGUGGCGAAGGCGGCCUUCUGGACUGGCACUGACGCUGAGGUGCGAAAGCGUGGGUAGCAAACAGGAUUAGAUACCCUAGUAGUC
Molecule: ribosomal RNA, 465 nt
Filed under: Vreelandella stevensii
Lineage: Bacteria; Pseudomonadati; Pseudomonadota; Gammaproteobacteria; Oceanospirillales; Halomonadaceae
Description: partial 16S ribosomal RNA
Rfam family: Bacterial small subunit ribosomal RNA
Source: RNAcentral